CCAUAUCAAUAAGCGGAGGAAAAGAAACUAACAAGGAUUCCCCUAGUAGCGGCGAGCGAAGCGGGAAGAGCUCAAAUUUAUAAUCUGGCACCUUCGGUGUCCGAGUUGUAAUCUCUAGAAAUGUUUUCCGCGUUGGACCGCACACAAGUCUGUUGGAAUACAGCGGCAUAGUGGUGAGACCCCCCGUAUAUGGUGCGGACGCCCAGCGCUUUGUGAUACAUUUUCGAAGAGUCGAGUUGUUUGGGAAUGCAGCUCAAAUUGGGUGGUAAAUUCCAUCUAAAGCUAAAUAUUGGCGAGAGACCGAUAGCGAACAAGUACCGUGAGGGAAAGAUGAAAAGCACUUUGGAAAGAGAGUUAACAGUACGUGAAAUUGUUGGAAGGGAAACGCUUGAAGUCAGACUUGCUUGCCGAGCAAUCGGUUUGCAGGCCAGCAUCAGUUUUCCGGGAUGGAUAAUGGUAGAGAGAAGGUAGCAGUUUCGGCUGUGUUAUAGCUCUCUGCUGGAUACAUCUUGGGGGACUGAGGAACGCAGUGUGCCUUUGGCGGGGGUUUCGACCUCUUCACACUUAGGAUGCUGGUGGAAUGGCUUUAAACGACCCGUCUUGAAACACGGACCAAGGAGUCUAACAUGCUUGCGAGUAUUUGGGUGUCAAACCCGGAUGCGUAAUGAAAGUGAAUGGAGGUGGGAACCGCAAGGUGCACCAUCGACCGAUCUGGAUUUUUAAUGAUGGAUUUGAGUAAGAGCACGUAUGUUGGGACCCGAAAGAUGGUGAACUAUGCCUGAAUAGGGCGAAGCCAGAGGAAACUCUGGUGGAGGCUCGUAGCGGUUCUGACGUGCAAAUCGAUCGUCAA
Molecule: ribosomal RNA, 850 nt
Filed under: Rhodotorula mucilaginosa
Lineage: Eukaryota; Fungi; Basidiomycota; Microbotryomycetes; Sporidiobolales; Sporidiobolaceae
Description: LSU rRNA
Rfam family: Eukaryotic large subunit ribosomal RNA
Source: RNAcentral